RNA transcript from Syzygium oleosum, 1798 nucleotides. It is a transcript of the gene named tRNA-specific adenosine deaminase TAD2-like, with no coding region annotated. The transcript is spliced from 9 exons. Lineage: Eukaryota; Viridiplantae; Streptophyta; Magnoliopsida; Myrtales; Myrtaceae. The record is from RefSeq and is a predicted model, not a curated record.
UAGGUAAGUGAACUCAGCUGAUCUUGAUUAAAAUGCCUUCUUUCUUCUUGUUCCUUCUUGUUUUCCUUUCUCAGAAAAACCAGUAACACGCUGUUAGUACCUACUUUUGCCCAAGUUAACUGUACAUCCUAACUAAAAUCCUGUUAUUCUUUCUUCUCUUUUAUCACUUUUCUUUGUAUUUAGUUUUUCUCUCUUCUUUUGGGGGAUCCUCUUUUCUCCGCCAAAGGCAAACUUCGGACUCCACCGAUGCCACUUUCAACGUCACGACUGCUCCUCUUCCAUCCGACACCACCGAGCUCUGACGAAUGUAAGAUCGCCACCUGCCGAUGGAGGCGAUGAAUAGAAGAAGAAGUUCGUCUUUCUGAAACAGUCUUUAUCGAAGCCACGGCGACGGAGGUCAGCGAGCGGAGGCAACGGACUACCACCGCCGUCCGAAUCAAUGGAAACCGAUGACGUUGCUUCGGGGGAACCAUUCUCGCCUGAGGUUUUGGGCUUUGUUCAGCUUGCUAUGGAUCAGGCAAAGCUUGCUUUGGACAGCUUUGAAGUUCCAGUUGGCUGUGUGAUUGUUGAGGAAGGGCAUCUUAUUGUGGCAGGAAGAAACAGGACUAAUGAGACACAGAAUGCAACAAGACAUGCAGAAAUGGAAGCACUUGACGUUCUUUUUGAAAAGUGGCAGAGGACUAGAUUUUCGUCUGCAGAAGUUGCAGAGAGGUUUUCAGCAUGCUCUCUUUAUGUGACAUGUGAACCAUACAUAAUGUGUGCAGCAGCAUUAUCGAUCAUUGGUAUAAAAAUGGCUGUGCAAAUGAUAAAUUUGGAGGCUAUGGUUCAAUACUGCCGAUGCAUUCAAGUAGCUCUGAGCUAUCCAUUAGUAAUGGAAACAAAAGUUUUCAAAUGUUGUGGAGGAAUAAUGGCAUCAGAAGCGGUUUCUCUUCUGAGUGAUUUUUAUGAACAAGGAAACUAUAAUGCAAAGAUAUCAUGUUUUAUCGUAGGUCUGGGGAAUUAUCUGCACAUCCCAGGUAAAUAAUGAUGGCCUGGUGGAAUGUUUAGAUGCUCCAAAGACUCACAGGCCACGGGUUACUCAGGCUUCUCAUUUGAUCUGUAUGCAUUGAUUCUUCCUGUUGAAUCCUCUCGUGCCUCUGCAUAACUAGAGCUAGUUAACGUUGUGAUCAUCGUUGACUUUUCCUAGCAUAUGAUUGUGGGAAAAUCUCAAUGAUUUGAUUGGUCACGUGGUGGCUCCAAAAGUACAUAAAAAUCUCAAUGUUUUGCUCCAUCAAGACGGAUUUGGCGGCCAGAGGACUCCUCAAGCUUAAUACCGACUUCUCGUGGACGGAGGGAGCCUCGGAAGUUUUGAUAGCUAGAAUUGUUCGGGAUUCAUGCGGUAUGUUGGUGGCUGGCUUUGCGAAAGGCGUGCGAGCUCCCUCGGUUCUGUUUGCGGAAGCCCUAGCAAUGAAUGAGUCCAUUCUCUACUUGUGCUCUGUAGUAUCCACCGACUGCUUAUCACUAGUGGAGCUUACCACGGGUAAUGUUGAAAGCUCAUGAGCCAUGCAAGAAAUCAUUGAGGAAUGCCAGUUUCUGCUGGUCCACUUGGUUAAGGUGAAGGUUGCUCAUUGUCCCUACGAGGUUAAUCAAGUUGCUGAUUGGAUUGUUAAGGCCCAUAGGAACAAGACAGUCCCUUUGAAUUGGUCUUCUUUACCCCAAUAACCCCUUUGGAAUAUUUUGUGUUUAGAAACCAACUUGUCUAGCUCUGGUAGAGUUUGAUUCAUGAAUGAAUAAAUGAAUGAAAGUGCUUUUUCUGACA